GCAUUGAACUUAAGAUUCAGAUAUAAAGUAUUUUUCAACUUUUAUUAAAA
RNAcentral lists this transfer RNA (50 nucleotides) under Apis mellifera (honey bee). Its description in RNAcentral is "partial tRNA-Leu". The record is from RNAcentral. Lineage: Eukaryota; Metazoa; Arthropoda; Insecta; Hymenoptera; Apidae.